UCCUACGGGAGGCAGCAGUGGGGAAUUUUGGACAAUGGGCGAAAGCCUGAUCCAGCAAUGCCGCGUGUGUGAAGAAGGCCUUCGGGUUGUAAAGCACUUUUGUCCGGAAAGAAAUCCCUGGCUUUAAUACUGUCGGGGGAUGACGGUACCGGAAGAAUAAGCACCGGCUAACUACGUGCCAGCAGCCGCGGUAAUACGUAGGGUGCGAGCGUUAAUCGGAAUUACUGGGCGUAAAGCGUGCGCAGGCGGUUUGCUAAGACCGAUGUGAAAUCCCCGGGCUCAACCUGGGAACUGCAUUGGUGACUGGCAGGCUAGAGUAUGGCAGAGGGGGGUAGAAUUCCACGUGUAGCAGUGAAAUGCGUAGAGAUGUGGAGGAAUACCGAUGGCGAAGGCAGCCCCCUGGGCCAAUACUGACGCUCGUGCACGAAAGCGUGGGGAGCAAACAGGAUUAGAUACCCUGGUAGUCCACGCCCUAAACGAUGUCAACUAGUUGUUGGGGAUUCAUUUCCUUAGUAACGUAGCUAACGCGUGAAGUUGACCGCCUGGGGAGUACGGUCGCAAGAUUAAAACUCAAAGGAAUUGACGGGGACCCGCACAAGCGGUGGAUGAUGUGGAUUAAUUCGAUGCAACGCGAAAAACCUUACCUACCCUUGACAUGGUCGGAAUCCCGCUGAGAGGUGGGAGUGCUCGAAAGAGAACCGGCGCACAGGUGCUGCAUGGCUGUCGUCAGCUCGUGUCGUGAGAUGUUGGGUUAAGUCCCGCAACGAGCGCAACCCUUGUCCUUAGUUGCUACGCAAGAGCACUCUAAGGAGACUGCCGGUGACAAACCGGAGGAAGGUGGGGAUGACGUCAAGUCCUCAUGGCCCUUAUGGGUAGGGCUUCACACGUCAUACAAUGGUCGGAACAGAGGGUUGCCAACCCGCGAGGGGGAGCUAAUCCCAGAAAACCGAUCGUAGUCCGGAUUGCACUCUGCAACUCGAGUGCAUGAAGCUGGAAUCGCUAGUAAUCGCGGAUCAGCAUGCCGCGGAAAAUACGUUCCCGGGCCUUGUACACACCGC
RNAcentral lists this ribosomal RNA (1058 nucleotides) under uncultured Burkholderia sp. Its description in RNAcentral is "bacterial SSU rRNA". It matches the Rfam family "Bacterial small subunit ribosomal RNA", at positions 337 to 1393 of the family's 1533-position model. Lineage: Bacteria; Pseudomonadati; Pseudomonadota; Betaproteobacteria; Burkholderiales; Burkholderiaceae. The record is from RNAcentral.